GGCUCCUGGCGCUGCUGGGGGCGGGGUCUCUGGCCCCGCCCUCCGUCCGCGCGGCCGCCGCCCCCCUGGGCCCUGCCGGGCUCCUAUUGGCCCUCCUGGCCCUGCAGGCGGGGUCUGUGCGCCGCGCCCUCCCCGGGGGCGGGGCCAACACGUUGUGCCUCCCCCCCCGGCCCGGGGACCCCCUGAGGCCCUGCGCCCCCCCCCAGACCCCCAACGCCUCCUGGGGUCCUCCCGCCCAGCAGGGGGCGCUGCCUGCCCUGCCCGCGCCCAGCGCGCGGCUCCUGGCGCGGAACCUGUGGCCCCGCCCCCCGGAGGCGGGUCUGGGGGCGGGGCCAGAGGAGGAGGAAGGGGAGGGCGGGGCCGACGCCUCCUUCGGGGUCCUGCUGGGGCUGAGCCUCCCCUCGGCCUCUGGUGA
Molecule: long non-coding RNA, 415 nt
Organism: Neopelma chrysocephalum (saffron-crested tyrant-manakin)
Lineage: Eukaryota; Metazoa; Chordata; Aves; Passeriformes; Pipridae
Exons: 3
Source: RefSeq, a predicted model, not a curated record